Molecule: ribosomal RNA, 3029 nt
Filed under: Candidatus Legionella polyplacis
Lineage: Bacteria; Pseudomonadati; Pseudomonadota; Gammaproteobacteria; Legionellales; Legionellaceae
Description: bacterial LSU rRNA
Rfam family: Bacterial large subunit ribosomal RNA
Source: RNAcentral
UUAUAUGAUCAAGAAAAAUAAGCGCAAAUAGUGGAUGCCUAGGCAGUAAGAGGCGAUGAAGGACGUGGCAUUCUGCGAAAAUCUUUGGUAAGCUGAAAGCAGGCGAAAGAACCAAAGGUAUCCGAAUGGGGAAACCUAACCAAUUUAUUGGUUAUUUAAACUUGAAUAAAAUAGAGUUUAAAAGCGAACCUAGAGAAUUGAAACAUCUUAGUAUCUAGAGGAAAAGAAAUCAAAAUUGAGAUUUCCUAAGUAGUGGCGAGCGAAAAGGAAGAAGCCAAUGUAAGUUACGUAUUUAAUGAGUUAUAGAAUAACUUGGAAAAGUUAACCGUAGAAGGUGAAAGUCCUGUAUAUAGUAUUUAUACGGAGACUAAGUACAUUAAUAAGUAGACCGGGACACGAGAAAUCUUGGUUGAAGAUAGGUGGACCAUCAUCUAAGGCUAAAUACUACUUACUGACCGAUAGUGAACAAGUACCGUGAGGGAAAGGUGAAAAGAACCCCGGAGAGGGGAGUGAAAUAGAAACUGAAACUGUUUGCGUACAAGCAGUGGGAGCUAAAAUGAUAUAUUUAUAAUUUAUUUAUAGGUAUGUUUUUAUUAGUGACUGCGUACCUUUUGUAUAAUGGGUCAGCGAGUUAUUUUUAGUGGCGAGGUUAACUUUGUUAGAAGGGAGCCGUAGAGAAAUCGAGUCUUAAUAGGGCGUUUGUAUUUUUUUAUUUGUAUAGUCGCUAGAAAUAGACCCGAAACCGGGCGAUCUAGCCAUGUCCAGGAUGAAGAUUAGUUAACACUAAUUGGAGGUCCGAACCGGGUAAUGUUGAAAAAUUAUCGGAUGAGGUGUGGCUAGGAGUGAAAGGCUAAACAAGCUCGGAGAUAGCUGGUUCUCCCCGAAAGCUAUUUAGGUAGCGUCUUGUGAGAUUAAUUAUCUGGGGUAGAGCACUGUUUCGGCUAGGGGGUCUUAAAUGAUCUACUAAACCGAUGCAAACUACGAAUACGGAUUAAUUGUAUCAUGGGAAACACACAUCGGGUGAUAACGUCCGUUGUGGAAAGGGAAACAACCCAGAUCGUCAGCUAAGGUCCCUAAGUAAUAAUUAAGUGAUAAAACGAAGUGAGAAGGCAUAGAUAUCCAGGAGGUUGGCUUAGAAGCAGCCAUCCUUUAAAGAAAGCGUAAUAGCUCACUGGUUGAGUCAUCUUGCACGGAAGAUUUAACGGGGCUAAAUUAUUCACCGAAGCUACGAUACUUAUAUAUGUUUUUUAUAUAUUUUUUUAUGUAUAAAAAGAUCCUAUAUGAGUAGGUAGGGGAGCAUUCUGUAGGCCGUAGAAGGUUUAUUGUGAAGUAAACUGGAGGUAUCAGAAGAGCGAAUGCUGACAUGAGUAACGAUAAAGGGGGUGAAAAACCUCCUCGCCGAAAGUCUAAGGUUUCCUGCCCUACGUUAAUCGGGGCAGGGUUAGUCGAUAUCCUAAGGUAAGGUCGAAAGACGUAGCCGAUGGACAUUAGGUUAAUAUUCCUGAACUUUUUAUAAGUGGUGAUUUGUAGGGACGAAAAAGGCUAGGCAAGCCGGUUAUUGGAUUUCUGGUAGAGGCAUAUAGACGAGGAACGAGGAAAAUCCCGUUCCAUAUAUACAAAAGUAUAUACGUUAAGGUGCUGAAGGAUUUGACCGCAUAGGUGUGAAGAAGUUGUUGAAGCCAUUUUCCAAGAAAAUCUACUAACCUUAACUUAUAAAAAUACGUACCGCAAACCGACACAGGUAGAUGGGUAGAGAAUACUAAGGCGCUUGAUAGAACUUGGGUGAAGGAACUAGGCAAAAUAAUACCGUAACUUCGGGAGAAGGUAUGCCAUUUUUAGUGGGAUUAUAAUAUCAAUUAUAAUUGAGCUUAAUUUGGCCGCAGAGAAUAGGUGGCUGCGACUGUUUAUUAAAAACACAGCACUCUGCAAAUUCGUAAGAAGAAGUAUAGGGUGUGACGCCUGCCCGGUGCCGGAAGGUUAACUGAUAUUGUUAAAAAUCAAUUUAUGAUUUUGAAGCAAUAGAUUGAAGCCUCGGUAAACGGCGGCCGUAACUAUAACGGUCCUAAGGUAGCGAAAUUCCUUGUCGGGUAAGUUCCGACCUGCACGAAUGGCGUAACGAUGGCCACACUGUCUCCACCCAAGAAUCAGUGAAAUUGAAAUUGCUGUGAAGAUGCAGUAUACCCGCGGCUAGACGGAAAGACCCCGUGAACCUUUACUAUAGCUUUAUAUUGAAUUUUGAUAAUGAUUGUGUAGGAUAGGUGGGAGGUUAUGAAGUAUGGACGCCAGUUUAUAUGGAACCGACCUUGAAAUACCACCCUGUUAUUAUUGGAAUUCUAACUUCAAGCUUUGAUCAAGCUUAAGGACAAUGUAUGGUGGGUAGUUUGACUGGGGCGGUCUCCUCCUAAAGAGUAACGGAGGAGCGCAAAGGUACCCUCGGUACGGUCGGACAUCGUACUAAGAGCGCAAAGGCAAAAGGGUGCUUAACUGCGAGACUGACAGGUCAAGCAGGUACGAAAGUAGGUCUUAGUGAUCCGGUGGUUCUGUAUGGAAGGGCCAUCGCUCAACGAAUAAAAGGUACUCCGGGGAUAACAGGCUAAUACCGCCCAAGAGUUCAUAUCGACGGCGGUGUUUGGCACCUCGAUGUCGGCUCAUCACAUCCUGGGGCUGAAGCAGGUCCCAAGGGUAUGGCUGUUCGCCAUUUAAAGUGGUACGCGAGCUGGGUUUAGAACGUCGUGAGACAGUUCGGUCCCUAUCUGCCGUGGGCGUAGGAAAAUUGAGAGGAGCUGCUCCUAGUACGAGAGGAUCGGAGUGGACAAACCUAUGGUGUUCCGGUUGUAACGCCAGUUGCAUAGCCGGGUAGCUAUGUUUGGAAAGGAUAACCGCUGAAAGCAUCUAAGUGGGAAGCCUGCCUCAAGAUGAGUUUUCCCUUGAAGCCCGUUGAAGACUACAACGUUGAUAGGCGAGGUGUGUAAGCUCAGUAAUGAGUGUAGCUAACUCGUACUAAUAGGCUGAUUGUCUUGAUCAUAUAA